UUGGCCAAACACGUGUUUCACUGGGACAAUAAAGAGUGGUGCACACUUCCUUCUCCCGGCCACAGAACAAAAAAAAAAUAGUCCCAUUUAAGAGUUGCUGGUGUAACAAUAGGAAGAAUAUAUUCCACUCCUCUCUUCUACACGCGGCUUAUGAGAUGAACGCUCGUCAAGAAGAACGUCCCCUUCAGCAGUAAGAGGAUCCACAGCCCCUCCAUAUUAAAGAAGAAAAGGAGGAUCUCUGGGUUACUCAGGAGGAAGAGUUUGUUCCAGGGCAGGAGGAGGCGGAUCACAGCAAGUUUCCACUGACUGUUGUCUCUGUGAAGACGGAAGCCCAUGAAAACAAACCACCUGAGUCCUCACAGCUUCAUCACAGUCCAAAUGUCUGUGAAGAACACCUUCUGACUGAAAAACAGGAGUGUAGCUUCAGAAUGGUGAAGGAGGAUCCUUCUAAGAGGACGACCAGGUGCCACAGACCCUCUGGCGUCUCCUUUUCUUCUUUGACACAGACGCUUCCCUGUAAAAAGGAAGAGGAAGAUUCACUGACCCUCCACAUUAAAGAGGAAGCGAUGGAACACAAAAUCAGUCAGGAGGGAGAUCAUCUUGAAUGACUGGUGGAGUUCCCAGUGAUUGGCGUCCUCGUGAAGAGUGAAGAUGAAGAGGUCAAAGGUAAAAGUGAGGAGAAGAGAAAGGCGGAGCCCCCAAGCAGCAACUCAACACAACACAUGACAACAGAAGCUGAUGGAGACCACUGUGGAGGAUCACAAGCAGACAAGCUCUUAGCUCCACUGUCAGAUAGUGAGGACACAACGUCACACUCCUGACACUGAUGAUGAAGACUCUAAAGAUGAUAAGACAUGUCACACUGACAACACUCACUUCACAUGUUCUCACUGUGACAAAUCCUUUCGUUCCCGUUCUUAUCUGAAAGUACACAUGAGAACACACACUGGAGAAAAAACGUUUUCCUGCUCAGAAUGUGGUAAAUGUUUUACAAUACGUAAGAGUUUAAAAGUACACACGAGGACCCACACUGGAGAAAAACCUUUUUCUUGUUCAUUCUGUGAUGAAGGUUUUACAGAAAAAAAUGUGUUGAACGAACACAUUUCAAUACACACUGGUGAAAAGCCUUUUACCUGUUCAAUACGUGGUAAAAGUUUUACACACAGUCAGACUUUGAAAAAACACACAAGGUUACACACUGGUGAAAAACCUUUUAUCUGUUCAAUAUGUGGCUCUUCUUUUCCGAGGAAGGAAUCUUUGAAAGUGCACAUGAGAACACACACUGGUGAAAAACCGUUUUCCUGUUCAGUCUGUGGUAAAGGUUUUGCAGAAAUUCAACAUUUGAAAAGACACAGGAAAACGCACACUGGUGAAAAAACACAUUCCUGUUCAAUCUGCAACAGAAGCUUUUGUGACCUAACAAACCUUAGAGCACACAUGAGAACACACCCAGGAGAGAAAGUGUUGAGUUGCAGUGUGUGUGGUGAAAGAUUCUCUUAUAAGAAGCAGUGUAAGAAACACAAGUGUGCUGGUGAGAACAGCAACAGUAAAUGAAACUGCAGGAUUUGAAAUAACCCUAAUCCCUAACCUCAAGGCAUGAUUUUGACUCUUUAUUGUUUGACUUCACAUAUUUCCAAAAAUGCCUGCCAAGGAGGGGCAGCAAGGUAGACAAAAACAUAUGAGUAGAGUGACCAUCUUCAGAAAAUGUGCCGAAUAUCUUUACACACCUCGGUCUUCUCUCCAGCACCAUUAGAACAAAAAGGGACGUUUUUGUCAUGAAAAAGGAAGGUUUUUGUGGUUGGUGCACUAAUUGUAAGUGUAUAUUGUGUUUUUUAUGUGGAUUUAAUUAAAAAAAAACAUAUAUAUAUAUAUAUAUAUAUAUAUAUAUUUUUUUUUUUAAUAUAAAUGAAUGAAAAAUUCUUCUGCGGCCCGGUGGUUGGGGACCACUGCCUUAUAGGGCUGCGAAUCCUUGGGUGUCCCACGAUUCGAUUCAGUAUCGAUUCUUGGGGUCACGAUUCGAUAAUAUAUCGAUUUUUUUCAAAACGAUUCUGUAUUCAUUCAAUACAUAGCAUUUCAGCAGGAUCUACCCCAGUCUGCUGACAUGCAAGCAGAGUAGUAGAUUUUUUUAAAAAGCUUUUAGAAUUGUAAAGAACAAUGUUUUAUCAACUGAUUGCAAUAAUGUAAAUUUGUUUUCACUAUUAAACAAAUUAAAAAAUA
Long non-coding RNA from Nerophis ophidion (straightnose pipefish), 2217 nucleotides. RefSeq lists it as uncharacterized. NCBI's taxonomy places the organism in Eukaryota, Metazoa, Chordata, Actinopteri, Syngnathiformes, Syngnathidae. The transcript has 3 exons. The record is from RefSeq and is a predicted model, not a curated record.